CAACUUGAGAGUUUGAUCCUGGCUCAGAACGAACGCUGGCGGCAGGCCUAACACAUGCAAGUCGAGCGCGCCUUCGGGCGAGCGGCGGACGGGUUAGUAACGCGUGGGAACGUGCCCAGAUCUACGGAAUAGCCACUGGAAACGGUGAGUAAUACCGUAUACGCCCUUCGGGGGAAAGAUUUAUCGGAUUUGGAUCGGCCCGCGUUAGAUUAGGUAGUUGGUGGGGUAACGGCCUACCAAGCCUACGAUCUAUAGCUGGUUUUAGAGGAUGAUCAGCAACACUGGGACUGAGACACGGCCCAGACUCC
Molecule: ribosomal RNA, 308 nt
Filed under: Paracoccaceae bacterium
Lineage: Bacteria; Pseudomonadati; Pseudomonadota; Alphaproteobacteria; Rhodobacterales; Paracoccaceae
Description: bacterial SSU rRNA
Rfam family: Bacterial small subunit ribosomal RNA
Source: RNAcentral